CAGGGAGACAAAAACUGAUUGUGAUGUCUAAUUUUUAAAUUUAGGCCAUAAUCCUGUCACAUUAGGUCGAUCGGUACGUCAGUUAAGUUUUUAAUUAAAGCUGAUUUCUUCAGAUUUAAAAUAACUAUUUAAUUCAGUUCCUAAACUUUGUCUAGGUCACACCCAAUAAGGGUACUCCUGGGCCAUUAGCUCAGGUGGUUAGAGCGCACCCCUGAUAAGGGUGAGGUCCCUGGUUCAAGUCCAGGAUGGCCCAUUCGAUGUUGGGGGUAUAGCUCAGUUGGUAGAGCGCCUGCUUUGCAAGCAGGAUGUCAGCGGUUCGAGUCCGCUUACCUCCACUGAUCGACCUCCUGAUAACGAAGUUUAAGGAGUUUUGUUGGAUGAGAUCUAGAUUUGUUCAUGUUGAAUAGAACCUAGCUUCUUAUCGUUAAUUACUAUUAGGUAUGUAUUGAUAAGACGCUGGGCUCACUGCAAUUAGAAAUUGCGGAAAAGUUCAGUAGAACCUUGACAACUGCAUAGGAUAAGUCUGGAAAGAAUAAGGCAUCUCAUGGAUGCAUUAGUUUUAAUUGAAAUUAUUUUCUCUUUCCGAAGAGUAUUUGAUUUUGAUUAGUGCUAUAUGUUUGAUUCUUGAGUAAGAGCCGAGUCUCUAUAAUGUUCAUUCAAUACGUAAAUAUUAUUGUAUUGGAAGCUUGGUUUUAUUGGAUUUAAUAAACCCAAUAAAAAUCAAAGACAAUAUAGAGAUAAUAAAU
This 746-nucleotide transfer RNA is filed under the name uncultured cyanobacterium. RNAcentral describes it as "partial 16S-23S ribosomal RNA intergenic spacer". The stretch from base 263 to 335 matches the Rfam family "tRNA". The record is from RNAcentral. Lineage: Bacteria; Bacillati; Cyanobacteriota.